This 250-nucleotide ribosomal RNA is filed under the name uncultured bacterium. RNAcentral describes it as "partial 16S ribosomal RNA". It matches the Rfam family "Bacterial small subunit ribosomal RNA", at positions 524 to 775 of the family's 1533-position model. The record is from RNAcentral.
UACGUAGGGGGCAAGCGUUGUCCGGAAUCAUUGGGCGUAAAGCGCGUGUAGGCGGCUCGAUAAGUCUGCUGUGAAAGUCCAGGCUCAACCCUGGGAUGCCGGUGGAUACUGUCGAGCUCGAGUCCGGAAGAGGCGAGUGGAAUUCCUGGUGUAGCGGUGAAAUGCGCAGAUAUCAGGAGGAACACCUGUGGCGAAAGCGGCGCACUGGACCACAACUGACGCUGAGGCGCGAAAGCUAGGGAGCAAACGG